GACGGCCUUCGGGUUGUAAACCUCUUUUAGCAGGGAAGAAGCGAAAGUGACGGUACCUGCAGAAAAAGCGCCGGCUAACUACGUGCCAGCAGCCGCGGUAAUACGUAGGGCGCAAGCGUUAUCCGGAAUUAUUGGGCGUAAAGAGCUCGUAGGCGGUUUGUCGCGUCUGCUGUGAAAUCCGGAGGCUCAACCUCCGGCCUGCAGUGGGUACGGGCAGACUAGAGUGCGGUAGGGGAGAUUGGAAUUCCUGGUGUAGCGGUGGAAUGCGCAGAUAUCAGGAGGAACACCGAUGGCGAAGGCAGAUCUCUGGGCCGUAACUGACGCUGAGGAGCGAAAGGGUGGGGAGCAAACAGGCUUAGAUACCCUGGUAGUCCACCCCGUAAACGUUGGGAACUAGUUGUGGGGUCCAUUCCACGGAUUCCGUGACGCAGCUAACGCAUUAAGUUCCCCGCCUGGGGAGUACGGCCGCAAGGCUAAAACUCAAAGGAAUUGACGGGGACCCGCACAAGCGGCGGAGCAUGCGGAUUAAUUCGAUGCAACGCGAAGAACCUUACCAAGGCUUGACAUAUACGAGAACGGGCCAGAAAUGGUCAACUCUUUGGACACUCGUAAACAGGUGGUGCAUGGUUGUCGUCAGCUCGUGUCGUGAGAUGUUGGGUUAAGUCCCGCAACGAGCGCAACCCUCGUUCUAUGUUGCCAGCACGUAAU
Molecule: ribosomal RNA, 708 nt
Filed under: Microbacterium oxydans
Lineage: Bacteria; Bacillati; Actinomycetota; Actinomycetes; Micrococcales; Microbacteriaceae
Description: bacterial SSU rRNA
Rfam family: Bacterial small subunit ribosomal RNA
Source: RNAcentral